Molecule: ribosomal RNA, 569 nt
Filed under: uncultured bacterium
Lineage: Bacteria
Description: bacterial SSU rRNA
Rfam family: Bacterial small subunit ribosomal RNA
Source: RNAcentral
CCUACGGGAGGCAGCAGUGGGGAAUAUUGCACAAUGGGCGCAAGCCUGAUGCAGCGACGCCGCGUGAGGGAUGACGGCCUUCGGGUUGUAAACCUCUUUCAGUAGGGAAGAAGCGAAAGUGACGGUACCUGCAGAAGAAGCGCCGGCUAACUACGUGCCAGCAGCCGCGGUAAUACGUAGGGCGCAAGCGUUAUCCGGAAUUAUUGGGCGUAAAGAGCUCGUAGGCGGUUUGUCGCGUCUGCUGUGAAAGACCGGGGCUCAACUCCGGUUCUGCAGUGGGUACGGGCAGACUAGAGUGCAGUAGGGGAGACUGGAAUUCCUGGUGUAGCGGUGAAAUGCGCAGAUAUCAGGAGGAACACCGAUGGCGAAGGCAGGUCUCUGGGCUGUAACUGACGCUGAGGAGCGAAAGCAUGGGGAGCGAACAGGAUUAGAUACCCUGGUAGUCCAUGCCGUAAACGUUGGGCACUAGGUGUGGGGGACAUUCCACGUUUUCCGCGCCGUAGCUAACGCAUUAAGUGCCCCGCCUGGGGAGUACGGCCGCAAGGCUAAAACUUAAAGGAAAUUGACGG